RNAcentral lists this unclassified non-coding RNA (320 nucleotides) under uncultured fungus. RNAcentral describes it as "partial contains small subunit ribosomal RNA, internal transcribed spacer 1, and 5.8S ribosomal RNA". The stretch from base 1 to 73 matches the Rfam family "Eukaryotic small subunit ribosomal RNA", at positions 1759 to 1831 of the family's 1831-position model. Lineage: Eukaryota; Fungi. The record is from RNAcentral.
GCAAACUUGGUCAUUUAGAGGAAGUAAAAGUCGUAACAAGGUUUCCGUAGGUGAACCUGCGGAAGGAUCAUUAUAGAAUUGUUCGAAUCCAUACGGGCAUUUUCUAAAAAUCCGUAUCCACACCGGUAGGGUUUUUUUUUUCUUUUGGGGGAAAAAACCCUUACCGUAGGGUUCCUCAUUCGCUUUUCGGAGCGGGUGUGGUUCCUGUCUGACCCAUGCCUAUAAUUUUAUUUUGUCUGAACUUGUUUAUAAAAAAAUAAUAAACAAAAACAACUUUCAACAACGGAUCUCUUGGCUCUCGCAUCAAUGAAGAACGCAGC